UGCAUGUGGUGGCAUGUGUCUGAGUCUAGGUUACAAAGGUAAAGGGAAAUGUUUCAGCCAGCAAAGCUACCUUGGGAACCUUACAGUCUUUAGGUUCUAAACUUAAGAAAAGUUAUGAGCCCUUUCGUUAUGUAUUGGAGAUCAGCAUGGGAUUUAUUAUGGAGGCAGCCAGAAGGCAGCAGUGCAACAAGAAAAGUGCCAGGUGCCGGGGAAGCACAGCAUCAGAAGAGAGACUUCAGGUCCCAAAGAACUUGCAAUCUGCAGUGCAAUUAGAGAUGGUUGCUGCUUGAAUCUCAUCUGCUAACAGUUGUUCUGCUAUCAUAAAGUGCAGCUUGGCUAAUUGCCCUGAAUAUUACCCCGGUAAGCCUUGCAACAGUCCUUCCAAACCCUGAGCUGCUGGCUGUGCUCAAGAUAGCUGCUGUAGAGUUUGGUUCUGUGUCAGCUCAGCUGCAGCUGUGUCAUGUAGUUGAUCUGACCAGCUGCACUCGGAAUUACAAAUUCAGUUAUUUGACUUGACCGGGACAAAGAGCAGGUUGGUGUCAGAAACAGGAGCAGAAAGAACAUU
This 565-nucleotide long non-coding RNA is filed under the name Coturnix japonica (Japanese quail). RNAcentral describes it as "lncRNA (ENSCJPG00005017111.1)". Lineage: Eukaryota; Metazoa; Chordata; Aves; Galliformes; Phasianidae. The record is from RNAcentral.